This 352-nucleotide ribosomal RNA is filed under the name uncultured Racocetra. RNAcentral's name for it is "SSU rRNA". It matches the Rfam family "Eukaryotic small subunit ribosomal RNA", at positions 569 to 929 of the family's 1831-position model. Lineage: Eukaryota; Fungi; Glomeromycota; Glomeromycetes; Diversisporales; Gigasporaceae. The record is from RNAcentral.
AGCAGCCGCGGUAAUUCCAGCUCCAAUAGCGUAUAUUAAAGUUGUUGCAGUUAAAAAGCUCGUAGUUGAAUUUCGGGGUUCUACCGUUGGUCGGGCUUUGUCUGUACUGGCGUGUAGAAUUUCUACCUUCUGGGGAACCAUCAUGUUAUUAAUUUAACGUGGUGGGAAACCAGGACCUUUACCUUGGAAAAAUUAGAGUGUUCAAAGCAGGCUUAUGUCUGAAUACAUUAGCAUGGAAUAAUAGAAUAGGACGGUGGUCCUGUUUUGUUGGUUUCUGAAUCACCGUAAUGAUUAAUAGGGAUAGUUGGGGGCAUUAGUAUUCAAUUGUCAGAGGUGAAAUUCUUGGAUUUAG